UCCCAACUCCAUUUCUAAACGUUUCUGCUAUCGUACUUAAUAAAUGAGAGGUUUUUGCGAAUUUCUUGCUUUUCUUACUACAAGAAAUCCAAGAUUUAAAAAAGUACCAUUAUUAUCUCAGGCACACGUGUUAAGAUACAAGGUUGUUUUUCUUAAAUUUAUUAUUCCAUAAUGAAUAUGAAAUUUAGCAAAUAAAAAUCACCGUAAUCAAAGAUGAACAAAAGACAUUUUGCAAAGUAAUAAUCAAAAAAAUUGAAAUAUAUUAAUAAAAGAUUGAGUAAACAAAUUGUACCUAGUAGUAAAGUCAAGCCUCUUUCCUCCGUUCGACGAACCAUUGUUGACGUUAUGAGCAAUGUGAGUUAUCUUGGCUACGCUGAAGCAAUAUUUAUAGGCCUCCGCCACCAAUCCGAAUCUGCUCACUGAUUUACCAGUUACCACCUAAAGCCCCACUUAGGGGUUGUUUGGGAGCUCGUGCUCAACUAGUUAAAUUAAG
Molecule: long non-coding RNA, 493 nt
Filed under: Olea europaea (common olive)
Lineage: Eukaryota; Viridiplantae; Streptophyta; Magnoliopsida; Lamiales; Oleaceae
Description: long non-coding RNA (OEUR_LNC011605)
Source: RNAcentral